GAAUGACAUAUGAUUGUUCUUAACAUAUUCAUUCUCUUUUUUCUUUUUCAGACCAUAUUUUCUCUUACCUGUGAGAAAGAUUUUACUUCAAAAUUUUACAUGUGUUUAUCGCGCAAGUGUUUUCUAGCUGAUAAUAACAAAAGGAAGCCGGUAGCAACAUCUACUAAGACAGAAAUUAAUGAGGAUUAUAAAGAUGACGAUAACAGAAGGAAGCCGGUAACAACAUCUACUAAGACAGAAAUUAAUGAAGAUUAUAAAGUUGGUAUGUAACAGUUACUUUAA
Molecule: long non-coding RNA, 282 nt
Organism: Octopus bimaculoides (California two-spot octopus)
Lineage: Eukaryota; Metazoa; Mollusca; Cephalopoda; Octopoda; Octopodidae
Source: RefSeq, a predicted model, not a curated record